Molecule: non-coding RNA, 145 nt
Organism: Gossypium hirsutum (cotton)
Lineage: Eukaryota; Viridiplantae; Streptophyta; Magnoliopsida; Malvales; Malvaceae
Source: Rfam
AAUUAAAAUUUUCAUCUAUUUUUACUGUUAAAAGUCGAAGUAGCCAACAAAAUAACUAAAUAAUUACACGUGGUAUGACACAUGUAUCUUAUACUAACGUUUAAUGACUAGUUUUUAGCAAUUAAAAUAGAUGAAAAUUUUCACA